Molecule: ribosomal RNA, 497 nt
Filed under: uncultured bacterium
Lineage: Bacteria
Description: partial 16S ribosomal RNA
Rfam family: Bacterial small subunit ribosomal RNA
Source: RNAcentral
GACGAACGCUGGCGGCGUGCCUAAUACAUGCAAGUUGAGCGCUGAAGGUUGGUACUUGUACCAACUGGAUGAGCAGCGAACGGGUGAGUAACGCGCGGGGAAUCUGCCUUUGAGCGGGGGACAACAUUUGGAAACGAAUGCUAAUACCGCAUAAAAACUUUAAACACAAGUUUUAAGUUUGAAAGAUGCAAUUGCAUCACUCAAAGAUGAUCCCGCGUUGUAUUAGCUAGUUGGUGAGGUAAAGGCUCACCAAGGCGAUGAUACAUAGCCGACCUGAGAGGGUGAUCGGCCACAUUGGGACUGAGACACGGCCCAAACUCCUACGGGAGGCAGCAGUAGGGAAUCGUCGGCAAUGGACGAAAGUCUGACCGAGCAACGCCGCGUGAGUGAAGAAGGUUUUCGGAUCGUAAAACUCUGUUGGUAGAGAAGAACGUUGGUGAGAGUGGAAAGCUCAUCAAGUGACGGUAACUACCCAGAAAGGGACGGCUAACUACGUG